RNAcentral lists this long non-coding RNA (659 nucleotides) under Phoenix dactylifera (date palm). RNAcentral describes it as "long non-coding RNA (PDAC_LNC019735)". Lineage: Eukaryota; Viridiplantae; Streptophyta; Magnoliopsida; Arecales; Arecaceae. The record is from RNAcentral.
UGAGAAGUUUGUACUUGAUUUAAACUCUUGCUCUAAAUAUCUUGUAACUUGAUUCAAUCAAGGGAUUGAAUCAAGGGGUUAAGGUUUGUUGGUGAGCCAAAGGGAAAAACCAACGUUGUAAGGUUGUGGUUGGUGAGCCUUUGAGAAAACCAACUGGGUUGAUUGUGAACCCGGAAAACAAUCGUUGUAAGGUUGUGGUUGGUGAGCCUUUGGGAAAACCAACUGGGUUGGAUUGUGAGCCCGUGAAAACAAUUGGGUGGUUCUAGUCGGUGAGCCUGGGAAAACCGACCGAGUUCGUUGUGACCUCGUAAAAUAACAAGUUGGGUUGUGAGCUUGUAAAACAACCGGCUGUAAUCUGUAGGAUUAUAGUAAAAUUCCCAAGAGGUCUUGGGGAGUGGAUGUAGGUGCUGGGGUGCACCGAACCACUAUAUGUUUGUUGUGUUUGUGAUGCUUUUUGUCAUUGUCUAUCUUGCUCACUUACUUACCUAGAUAAAUUGCAUGCUUAACUCUUAUCCGCGCAUCCUUUAGUUGCAAGCAUAUUAAAUUUACUUAAUCAAGUCUCAUUCGAUAAAUCAACCUUUUGCUAAGUUUAAAUUUCACUGUGCAACUAUACAACUUAGCAUAAUUAAUUGAAAAGUGUUAGAAGUAGCUUAAAAGUU